RNAcentral lists this ribosomal RNA (453 nucleotides) under uncultured Prevotella sp. RNAcentral's name for it is "partial 16S ribosomal RNA". It matches the Rfam family "Bacterial small subunit ribosomal RNA", at positions 342 to 792 of the family's 1533-position model. The record is from RNAcentral. Lineage: Bacteria; Pseudomonadati; Bacteroidota; Bacteroidia; Bacteroidales; Prevotellaceae.
CGGAAGGCAGCAGCGAGGAAUAUUGGUCAAUGGACGAGAGUCUGAACCAGCCAAGUAGCGUGCAGGAUGACGGCCCUAUGGGUUGUAAACUGCUUUUGUACGGGAAGAAAGUGACCCACGUGUGGGUUUUUGCAUGUACCGUAAGAAUAAGGACCGGCUAAUUCCGUGCCAGCAGCCGCGGUAAUACGGAAGGUCCGGGCGUUAUCCGGAUUUAUUGGGUUUAAAGGGAGCGUAGGCCGUGCUUUAAGCGUGUUGUGAAAUGUAGGCGCCCAACGUCUGCACUGCAGCGCGAACUGGAGCACUUGAGUACGCAGGAAGUAGGCGGAAUUCGUCGUGUAGCGGUGAAAUGCUUAGAUAUGACGAAGAACUCCGAUUGGGAAGCCAGCUUACUGUAGCGCCACUGACGCUGAUGCUCGGAAGCGUGGGUAUCGAACAGGAUUAGAUACCCUGGUA